RNAcentral lists this long non-coding RNA (1981 nucleotides) under Canis lupus familiaris (dog). Its description in RNAcentral is "lncRNA (ENSCAFG00000055004.1)". Lineage: Eukaryota; Metazoa; Chordata; Mammalia; Carnivora; Canidae. The record is from RNAcentral.
GCACUGUUGGUAUGAGUCUCAUAAAGGGGACAGAAGACCAAUGUCCCAGUUCAGUUAGAACAGAGUGAACUCUCUCUUCCUGUGACUUUUUAUUCUAUUCAGGCCCUCAAUGGAUUGGAUAAUUCUGACCCACAUUGGAAAGGCAAUCUGCUUUACUCAGUCUACCAAUUCAAAUGCUAAUCUCCUCUGGAAACACAGUCACAGACAUACCCAGAAAUAAUGUUUAGCCAAAUAUCCAGGCACCUUGUGAUCCACUCAAGUUGACAUAUAAAAUUAAACAUCACAAUUACCAACACCUAAAGAAGCAGUCCGACAAAUCCAGAAUAUAGGCCAUUCUAUAAACCAUAUUGCUAGAUUGUUAAAAAAGUCAAUGUCAUAUAGAAAUAAAGUUAGAGGAAUUAAUCUAGAAAAUAAAAGCAUGUAACCAAAUGCAGUGCAUGAGUCCUAAUUAGAUUCUGGAAUGAAUAUAUAUAUAUUUCCUUUGAACAAUCAGGGCUUAGGGUCCUGACUGUCCACACAGUUGAAAAUCCACAUAUAUAAAAAAAAAGAAAGAAAAUCCACAUAUAACUUUGAUUCCCAUCCCCCCCCAAAACAUAGGUGCUAAUAGCCUACACUAAUCAGAAGCCUUAUCAAUAACAUGGACAGCCAGUUAACACAUAUUUUUUAUGUUAUAAGUAUUAUAUACUGUAUUAUUACAAUAAAGUAAGCUACAGAAAAGUAAGUGUUAAGAAAAUCAUAAGGAAAAUACAUUUACAAAGUACUGCGCUGUUAAAAAUACAGGCAUAAGUGAACCUGUGCGGUUCAACCUGUGUUGUUCAAAGGUCAACUGUGCACACACAGACACACACACACACACACACACACACACACACACACAUGAGAAGGAAGGAAAGACAUGGGGAAAGAAGAAAAGCAACUGUGAAAAAAUAUUUAACAGUCAUUAACUCUAUGUGUGGCAUAUGUGAUGUUCAUUGAAGUAUUCUUUAAACUUUUCUGUAUGCUUCAAAUUUUUCAAAAUAAAAAUGUGGUGAAAAUAUCUCUCAUCCAAAUAAUUCUACUGGGCUUAAAACAGUUUCAGCUAGUCUUUUCUGGCAUAUAUUUCCUCUUUGGGGAAUGUCUAAAAUAAUAGUUUCUCUUAUUUGCUCUAAAUUAUUCCUCAGAACAAUUACAUACAUCAUGACACAUUGUUGUGCAGUUAUUUUUAUAAGAACUGAAUUAGAAGAUCCUGAAGGAAAGGACUGUGUUUUAUUUAUCACUGCCAUUUCUAUAAACCUAUAUAGUAGACUACUCUUAUUAGACCAUCUGUUGAUGCUCAUUCAGUAAAGUCAAAAAACAAGAAUUAGAAGCUAAGCACAGAAGUAGAGAUAAGCCAACACUUUAAAUAUGGUUUAUAUGUUACAGAACUCAUUCAACUCUCAGAGAACUUUGUGAUCUGUGUGUUGGAGUUGCUUGUUAUUAUUGAGUGACUCAGAUUCUUCAUAAUUUGUAAAUACUCUUUUAAAAUAAGAGUAGCACUCUUCUUCCCAACAUGAUCUAUUGAUUCAAGGAAUUCCAACCAAUUGGUCAGCAAGUUAUUUUGUGAAUAAUGACAAACUGAUUAUAUGAGGAGUGAAGCUAGCAUCAUACCAGUGUAAGACAUCCAUCUUUUUGUUUCCCUUUUAAACAACUGAAGAGACAUCCAUCCAUACCCAAAAAUGCCUCUGUGGGAGGCACUCUGGGAUCCAGCACCAUAUGCCAAGGGAUCUUGGGAGUACUCUUGCCUACUUGUGCAUGCAGUAAUAUCCAGAUAGCCCUCAAAAUGGGCUACAGAAACAGUAAAACCUGUCUCAGUGACUCCAGGGUGCAGUUGGGAAAAACCCAGAGAGUGCUGACUUGGGCAGAAACCCGCAGAUAACACAGACUUUGUAGAAGUCCAGCCUUCCCAAGGGGAAAUUUGAACACACUGUUGGGAGUAUGUAUGUAUGAGUGAAUGAAUGAAUGA